RNAcentral lists this ribosomal RNA (492 nucleotides) under uncultured bacterium. RNAcentral's name for it is "partial 16S ribosomal RNA". It matches the Rfam family "Bacterial small subunit ribosomal RNA", at positions 29 to 507 of the family's 1533-position model. The record is from RNAcentral.
AGUGAACGCUGGCGGUAGGCCUAACACAUGCAAGUCGAACGGCAGCACAGUAAGAGCUUGCUCUUACGGGUGGCGAGUGGAGGACGGGUGAGGAAUACAUCGGAAUCUACUUUUUCGUGGGGGAUAACGUAGGGAAACUUACGCUAAUACCGCAUACGACCUACGGGUGAAAGCAGGGGAUCUUCUGACCUUGCGCGAUUGAAGGAGCCGAUGUCGGAUUAGCUAGUUGGCGGGGUAAAGGCCCACCAAGGCGACGAUCCGUAGCUGGUCUGAGAGGAUGAUCAGCCACACUGGAACUGAGACACGGUCCAGACUCCUACGGGAGGCAGCAGUGGGGAAUAUUGGACAAUGGGCGCAAGCCUGAUCCAGCCAUACCGCGUGGGUGAAGAAGGCCUUCGGGUUGUAAAGCCCUUUUGUUGGGAAAGAAAAGCAGCAGGUUAAUACCCCGCUGUUCUGACGGUACCCAAAGAAUAAGCACCGGCUAACUUCGUG